GAUGAACGCUGGCGGCGUGCCUAAUACAUGCAAGUCGAACGAGCAGUUUUCGGGCUGCGAGUGGCGAACGGGUGAGUAACGCGUUGGUGACCUGCCCCGAAGUGGGGGAUACCAGCUCGAAAGGGCUGCUAAUACCCCAAGUGAUCAUCAGGAUUAGAAGCUGGUGAUGAAAGGCCCGUAAGGGUCGCUUUGGGAGGGACCUGCGUCCCAUCAGCUAGUUGGUGAGGUAAUGGCUUACCAAGGCGAUGACGGGUAGCUGGCCUGAGAGGGUGACCAGCCUCGAUGGGACUGAG
RNAcentral lists this ribosomal RNA (293 nucleotides) under uncultured bacterium. RNAcentral describes it as "partial 16S ribosomal RNA". It matches the Rfam family "Bacterial small subunit ribosomal RNA", at positions 28 to 323 of the family's 1533-position model. The record is from RNAcentral.